RNAcentral lists this ribosomal RNA (229 nucleotides) under uncultured bacterium. RNAcentral describes it as "partial 16S ribosomal RNA". It matches the Rfam family "Bacterial small subunit ribosomal RNA", at positions 13 to 244 of the family's 1533-position model. The record is from RNAcentral.
CGAGUCAUGGCUCAGAUUGAACGCUGGCGGCAGGCCUAACACAUGCAAGUCGAGCGGAUGAAGAGAGCUUGCUCUCUGAUUCAGCGGCGGACGGGUGAGUAAUGCCUAGGAAUCUGCCUGAUAGUGGGGGACAACGUUUCGAAAGGAACGCUAAUACCGCAUACGUCCUACGGGAGAAAGCAGGGGACCUUCGGGCCUUGCGCUAUCAGAUGAGCCUAGGUCGGAUUAG